Molecule: long non-coding RNA, 1004 nt
Organism: Zonotrichia leucophrys gambelii
Lineage: Eukaryota; Metazoa; Chordata; Aves; Passeriformes; Passerellidae
Exons: 3
Source: RefSeq, a predicted model, not a curated record
AGGAAACUGGAGUCAGUGGCUGCUUUGUGAAGAAGAAAGAGUCAGUGCUCUGAGAUCUGCCCACGAGAAACACCAAGAAGGUUUGGAACUUUUGUGAUAGGAGACAACAGCAUGGAACCCCUGCAAUGAGAUGGCAACAGACCUUGAGCAAGCACCCAAGAUUUCCUCAGCAUUCUGUGUCCAACUGUUUGCUCAGUGAGAUAAGAAAAGUGCUAUAGCUGUGAGUAAAUACUCCAGGCUUUAAGGAAAUCCUGAAGACUUGUUGCAGAAUUACACAAUGGGGGAUUUGGGAACUGAGCACACUUCUGCCAGCACUGACCAGGAUCAGAGGUUAUCAGAGAUGAAGGAGAGGAUGCUCAGCAGUGAUAAAUCUCCAGAUCUCACAGACAACAGGAACAAAACCCUGUCAUGCAAGAAGUGGACGCCAUCACCUCUGGGCCAGGUUUUAGUGGAACACAGCAGAGGAGAGCAAAGACUUCUAGGUCAGAAGAUGACCUUUCCUAAACAGUUAACCGUGAGCAAAGCCCACACCUUUUUCCCCUAUUAAUUCAUAUAAAUGUUUUCUCUUCAUAAAGACUGUAAAGAUAAAAUGCAAGUGGUCAGAGAAGAAGCACUCCAUGUUGAAAAAUAGCUUCAUUUUCUCAGUGAAGCGGAUGAAAUUUACUUGUAAAAAACCCAGCUUUUGCCAAGGACAAAUUGAUGCAAAAUCACUACCUUGCCGCAGGUUGAUUAGAAUUGUGUCUUUUCAAAGAAAAAUAGUAUUGCUUAUUAGUGGAUCUGCCAAAUUUUGUCCUGAGUUAAAUUUCUUAAAAUCUGUAAAAAUGUCAGAGUUCAGAGUUGCUAUAAACAUGCACAGGUGACAGUGAUAAGUUGUGUUUAGCUCUAACUAGGAAUUUUAAAAUGAUGUAUAGUGGGUGCAGCUGAAUGAAAUCUUGCAAACUGAUAUCAGCAAGAAAAAUGUUCCUGCUUAAUGCAGUGGGGAAAAAAACAGAGAAAGUUGCGUC